CGGGGCGUGGCUCAGUUUGGUAGAGCGCUUGGUUCGGGACCAAGAGGUCCUGGGUUCGAAUCCCAGCGCCCCGACCA
Molecule: transfer RNA, 77 nt
Filed under: Candidatus Omnitrophota bacterium
Lineage: Bacteria; Pseudomonadati; Candidatus Omnitrophota
Description: tRNA-Pro
Rfam family: tRNA
About the family: Transfer RNA (tRNA) molecules are approximately 80 nucleotides in length. Their secondary structure includes four short double-helical elements and three loops (D, anti-codon, and T loops). Further hydrogen bonds mediate the characteristic L-shaped molecular structure. tRNAs have two regions of fundamental functional importance: the anti-codon, which is responsible for specific mRNA codon recognition, and the 3' end, to which the tRNAs corresponding amino acid is attached (by aminoacyl-tRNA synthetases). tRNAs cope with the degeneracy of the genetic code in two manners: having more than one tRNA (with a specific anti-codon) for a particular amino acid; and 'wobble' base-pairing, i.e. permitting non-standard base-pairing at the 3rd anti-codon position.
Source: RNAcentral